This 427-nucleotide ribosomal RNA is filed under the name uncultured Ramlibacter sp. Its description in RNAcentral is "bacterial SSU rRNA". It matches the Rfam family "Bacterial small subunit ribosomal RNA", at positions 355 to 774 of the family's 1533-position model. The record is from RNAcentral. Lineage: Bacteria; Pseudomonadati; Pseudomonadota; Betaproteobacteria; Burkholderiales; Comamonadaceae.
UGGGGAAUUUUGGACAAUGGGCGCAAGCCUGAUCCAGCCAUUCCGCGUGCAGGAUGAAGGCCCUCGGGUUGUAAACUGCUUUUGUACGGAACGAAAAGGCUUCCUCUAAUACAGGAGGCUCAUGACGGUACCGUAAGAAUAAGCACCGGCUAACUACGUGCCAGCAGCCGCGGUAAUACGUAGGGUGCAAGCGUUAAUCGGAAUUACUGGGCGUAAAGCGUGCGCAGGCGGUUUUGUAAGACAGGUGUGAAAUCCCCGGGCUUAACCUGGGAACUGCAUUUGUGACUGCAAGGCUGGAGUGCGGCAGAGGGGGAUGGAAUUCCGCGUGUAGCAGUGAAAUGCGUAGAUAUGCGGAGGAACACCGAUGGCGAAGGCAAUCCCCUGGGCCUGCACUGACGCUCAUGCACGAAAGCGUGGGGAGCAAACA